Molecule: ribosomal RNA, 253 nt
Filed under: uncultured bacterium
Lineage: Bacteria
Description: partial 16S ribosomal RNA
Rfam family: Bacterial small subunit ribosomal RNA
Source: RNAcentral
UACGUAGGGUGCGCGCGUUGUCCGGAAUUAUUGGGCGUAAAGAGCUCGUAGGCGGUUUGUUGCGUCGGCCGUGAAAACUUGGGGCUUAACCCCGAGCCUGCGGUCGAUACGGGCAGACUUGAGUUCGGCAGGGGAGACUGGAAUUCCUGGUGUAGCGGUGAAAUGCGCAGAUAUCAGGAGGAACACCGGUGGCGAAGGCGGGUCUCUGGGCCGAUACUGACGCUGAGGAGCGAAAGCGUGGGGAGCGAACAGG